GUACACACCGCCCGUCACACCAUGGGAGUUGGUUCUACCCGAAGGCGUUGCGCCAACCGCAAGGGGGCAGGCGACCACGGUGGGCUCAGCGACUGGGGUGAAGUCGUAACAAGGUAGCCGUAGGUGAACCUGCAGAAGGAUCA
Molecule: ribosomal RNA, 143 nt
Filed under: uncultured eukaryote
Lineage: Eukaryota
Description: partial small subunit ribosomal RNA
Rfam family: Bacterial small subunit ribosomal RNA
Source: RNAcentral